AGCCUGCGUAGAUUUAGGGUUAUUCUGUGUUCUUCUUUUUCAGACGAUUCUUGACAUUCGAUGUGUUUUUUUUUUUUUUUUUUUUUUUACCGUAGCUUAACACAUUCGAUGUUACACCGACACAACCCACUCCCUUUCCUACCCGUAACGUAUGUUACAUCUCACACUUCUCCAUUGACAACUUCAUCUGAUUUCACUUCUUUUCACUUAUUAAGUUUUUUUUUUGUUUUAUUGUUGUUGCGGGAGUGCGUGAUGUGAGGUCCCAGAAGAUUCCACAACAGACAGACCUUAAUCGGCCUCCUCUAUUUACAGAUUUCCUGAGAAAUUUUUGUCCAGCUGCAGUAAAAUUGGCCUAAUGGAGACUGAAAUGAUGGAGAUUUGAUGCAGAGUACGUGUCCUUCAUGGGAGACUCGCCACAAAUAGUAAGGGGACGGAGCACAGAAACCAGGAGACGAUGACACGCUACAUUUAGAUGCUUCUGUGAACAAGUUUUCCAGCAGAGUAUGGAUGACGACAUGAGGCAAGCUAUGAACAAAAAAAAAGUGAUAUUCAUGGACAGUACUCGGGUCUGUUGAGGCUGUUUGAAUACAGAGGCUUCCCUCCUACAGCUAACUGCUUAUUCUUAGGAGAUUACGUGGACCGAAGGUAGCAGAGUUUGGAGACGGUCUGUCUUCUACUUUUCUACAAAAUCAAAUACCCGAGAACCUUUUAUUUCUGAGAGGAAACCACGAAUGAGCUUCCAUCAAGAGAAUCUACAGAUUCUACAAUGGAUUCGACCCUAGAUUCAGUAUUACAAACAUUAAGCGACCUACUGACGUUCCAGACUCUGGUCAGCUCUGUGGUUUGCUUUGAUCUGAUCAAGCAAAGAUGUCAAAGCUGGUGAAUGAACCACCGUGGUGACUUCGACAAUGCUGGUGCAAUGAUAAGUGUUGGUGAGGAUACUCUUUCCAAAUUCUUAAGCAUGUGGAUCGGAGGCCCUGGUUCUUAUGAUCAAAAGAGAGUAUGACACCAGCUCUCACUAUUUGCGUACACAAUGCUUAAGAAUUGUGAUGACAAGAAGAUCAAGAAGAUUUGUGAUGUAAAUUCAGAUCCUUCAUGAACUACUGAAAAUGUGAACGGAGAAGUACCUGAAACGAACAGCUCAUCGCUGCGGUUGCCAGUGGUAACUAGCCAUGAGUCGAGCCUUGUGGCUAGAUGUCGAAGAGUAUAUUCUCAUGCUCAUAAUUAUCAUAUCAAUUCUAUCUCAAAUAACAGUGACGGCGAAACAUUUAUUUCUGCUGAUGAUUUGCGAAGAAAUCUUUGGAAUCUGGAAAUUACCAAUCAAAGUUUCAACAUUGUUAAUGUCAAGCCAGAGAAAAUGGAAGAUCUAUCUGAGGUUAUUACAUCAGCAGUUCUAAAGGCUCAAUUCGCCUGAUUGAUCUGCGCCAAUCAGCUUUAUGUGAUUCACAUUCCAAAUUAUAAGUUUUUCUUAGACUGGCAAUUCUGAAGAGUUAUCUAGCAGCAAAGGCUUUGACAUUGCUUUUGUUUCUGUAAGGUUUGAGGAACCAGAAGCAGCUGGUUCUAAAUCGUUCUUCACUGAGAUCAUUGUUUCAGUGUCAGACAUCAAACUUGCUAAAGAAGGAAGAUAUCUACUUAGCCAUGACUAUAUGACACUUAAGUUAUGGGACAUUAACAUGGAUUCAGGUCCGGUAGCGACUUUCUAGGUUCAUGAACAUCUGAAACCGAAGCUCUAUGAUUUAUAUGAAAAUGAUUCCAUCUUUGACAAGUUCGAGUGUUGUAUAAGUGGCGAUGGAUUGCGAGCAGCUACAGGUUCCUACAUAUAUGCCCUGAAAAAGCAGAGCAUAUUUUAUGUUAUUAGACUAUGAUUCCAUGUAUAAGUGUUCCCUCUCUGUGUAUAGCAAUCUGUUCCGUGUGUUUGGUGUUUCCCCGGGAAGUACUGAGACUGCAACCUUAGAAGCAAGCAGAAAUCCAAUGAGUUUGAACCUCUCGGGGAAAGAAAACGAAAUUGGCAAACAUGAAACCAGACAAGAGAAUUAUGACGGUACUUGAGACUUUGUCAUUUUAGGCCUUGCAAGGAUGCUUAAAAUGCAUUUUACAUGUUAUACCAUAUCUUUAUGAACACUCACUAAUUUUUUUCUCAAAACUUUGUGUUUUAAUGAUUUUCUCUGACUCAUAUUGGACAGUAAAAAGUCUGCAAAGUUUUAUUUUUCAAUCAA
Molecule: long non-coding RNA, 2216 nt
Organism: Brassica oleracea var. oleracea
Lineage: Eukaryota; Viridiplantae; Streptophyta; Magnoliopsida; Brassicales; Brassicaceae
Exons: 12
Source: RefSeq, a predicted model, not a curated record